UUUCACACCAACCCAUCACUCAUCUUUUCAACUUGCAUGACUUUAUGACUUUGUAUUUUAUCAAAAAACCACUCCCUCACACUACCAAAAACCGGCCACCCUAAAAGUAGGGUACUUUUGGGGCUUUUAUGCAAUUACAUAAAGUUUUGAUACUUUUGUGUAUUUGUACUUUGACCCGAAAGUUUACGUUUUUACGGAAAGGCCCAAAAUCACUAAAGGACAAAUUGUUUUGCUCCUUUAAUGAAGUUUUUGGGGUUCUAGUUGUAAUUACAUGAAGUAGUGGACUUUUGUGUUCUUACAAAGUGA
Molecule: long non-coding RNA, 306 nt
Filed under: Malus domestica (apple)
Lineage: Eukaryota; Viridiplantae; Streptophyta; Magnoliopsida; Rosales; Rosaceae
Description: long non-coding RNA (MDOM_LNC006754)
Source: RNAcentral